UAAUAGUAGUAUUCAUUCUUUUUCAGCUCCAGCGCUUUGGUCUCUUCUGUGGGUGCUGCCGCCUCCGGUUUGGCCUCGCCUUCGCUUUCGUUCUUUUCUUUGUUUUCUCCCUGUUCACCACCUUUAUUUCCUUUGUCACCACCACCACCUCCUCCGUCUUCUUUUUUCUCUUCUUUGGAUUCUUUUCCUUUCUCUUCUUCUGCUUUUUUCUCUGCCUCCUGCUUCACUAUCACCGCGUGCUUGCCCGUUCUCUUGUAUACGUAGUCUACUAGUUUUGGAGGAUCAAACACACCCUUCACUGUUACCUGUGAGCUCUUUAGAUCUGGUUCAGCUGAUUCCACACCUACAAGAGAAGCAUAUCAAGAAUCAGAUUUUGACCCCAUUUAAUGCAAGAUUUCAAGAAUUAUGAUGCUGGGCUGGUGGGGUUUGAUUUAGGAUUCGAAAUCCAUCGACUUUUUCGAUUUCAACUAGAACAAAUUGAAUUGAAUGACUAAUAAAAUAAGGGAGAUUGAGGGAAUAAAAUCUUUUGUGAGAGAUUCAAAAGGUGAUAAAGACAAUAACUUAAUCAUCUUCAAACUAUCAAAAGGGGAGACAAAAACGUGAACCACCAAUCGAUCUAAGUUGAAGAGAAAUCGCAUGAACCGAAAAUGGAACAAGGGCACCUAAAAAAAAAUUGGCACUUUAUCAUGACUAAAAAUAAAAAGAACAAAAAGAAAAAGAAAAAGGUCAUGCCUUUCAUUCUCUGCAUCCGUCUCUUAAUUUCCAUUGCACAGGCUUCACAAUGCAUGUAAACCUUUAGGACCACUGUGAUCACCGGAGGCUGCACAAUCAAGAAAAUGAACUCAAAAUUUUAAUUAAAGAUAACCAGAAGAAUUUCGAAGAAACAAGAAGAGGAGUAAAAGUUAAAAACUUCUUCUUUCUUCUCUUCUGGCUUGGGCUUCUCCUUUUCUUCAGCUGCCUUUUUCUCCUCCUCAGACGGCGGUUUUGGGAUCGGAGAAAUGAGCUCGACCUGCCUAUGGCUCUUCCUCUGAACUCUCUCUAGAACCUUCAGUGGAUCCGCCUUCUCUCCCUUUACUAC
RNAcentral lists this long non-coding RNA (1078 nucleotides) under Manihot esculenta (cassava). Its description in RNAcentral is "long non-coding RNA (MESC_LNC008306)". The record is from RNAcentral. Lineage: Eukaryota; Viridiplantae; Streptophyta; Magnoliopsida; Malpighiales; Euphorbiaceae.